RNAcentral lists this ribosomal RNA (504 nucleotides) under uncultured bacterium. Its description in RNAcentral is "bacterial SSU rRNA". It matches the Rfam family "Bacterial small subunit ribosomal RNA", at positions 38 to 507 of the family's 1533-position model. The record is from RNAcentral.
GGCGGCGUGCUUAACACAUGCAAGUCGAACGAAAAAGAGGGGAAGAGCUUGCUCUUUUCAGAAUUGAGUGGCAAACGGGUGAGUAACACGUAAACAACCUGCCUUCAGGAUGGGGACAACAGACGGAAACGACUGCUAAUACCGAAUAAGUUCCAAGAGCCGCAUGGCCCAUGGAAGAAAAGGUGGCCUCUACCUGUAAGCUAUCGCCUGAAGAGGGGUUUGCGUCUGAUUAGCUGGUUGGAGGGGUAACGGCCCACCAAGGCGACGAUCAGUAGCCGGUCUGAGAGGAUGAACGGCCACACUGGAACUGAGACACGGUCCAGACUCCUACGGGAGGCAGCAGUGGGGAAUCUUCCGCAAUGGGCGAAAGCCUGACGGAGCAACGCCGCGUGAGUGAUGACGGCCUUCGGGUUGUAAAACUCUGUGAUCCGGGACGAAAAGGCAGAGUGCGAAGAACAAACUGCAUUGACGGUACCGGAAAAGCAAGCCACGGCUAACUACGUG